CGGUGUAGCUCAGGGGUAGAGCGUUUCCUUGGUAAGGAAGAGGUCGUGGGUUCAAUUCCCAUCGUUG
Molecule: transfer RNA, 67 nt
Filed under: Schmidingerella taraikaensis
Lineage: Eukaryota; Ciliophora; Spirotrichea; Tintinnida; Rhabdonellidae
Rfam family: tRNA
About the family: Transfer RNA (tRNA) molecules are approximately 80 nucleotides in length.
Source: RNAcentral